ACUCACAGUAGCCCACGCAGGCGUACACCAGAUGGGUCCCUUUGCAGGUGCCACGACGGUCGCUGCGGAUCGUCACGUUGAUGGCUGGAAGGAUGGAGGAACUGAACUCAACAGAUCAACUUACAGAGGCCAGAUUUUUUUUGCCAGAUGUGCAAAGUCAUUUGCCACUUUUUCCGUAUUGAAACUCACGGUAUAGGUGGCAUCCUGGGGUUUGUUUCUCUUUGCUCCACCCAAGAGGAGAGAAGAGCAGCAGCAGCAGUGACAUCAGGGCCAGCAGGCAGAUGUGUGAGAUGCUCUGCAACAUCUGGGCCGAUCAGACAAAACGCUUUUUCCAGGUUUGUGAAUCAGUGCCGUGGCGGCAGCAGAAAGACCCCCGCUGGGACUCAAUUAGGACCGUAGGAACGACCACAGUAACAGGUCAGCACUGAGGCUGAGUAUUUACGUUUUAAGGCUUUGUGUCCGCUGAUGGCGAAGGGGAAAACCCUGUUUUUUCCUCUUAUGUGGGGUUUCCACUCCAGGAGGUUUGUUCUGUCUCGCUUUGGGGGCAUCCGUUAGGGAGGCUCCAAUAAUAAAGUUACAAUCAAAACGUUUCCUCUGUCAUAACUAAUUAUCUGUAAAUGUUUUUGUCAAGACUUUAAAAAAUUCACACUGAACAGGGUGUCUGCAUGUUCCUAAAAAGUCUUCAAUGUAUCUAUAGUUAAGACCUCAAAAUGUCUUAAAUUAAAUUAAAGAUGUAAGUUGGCCUUAAAUACAUUAAUCACAGGCUGUGCUGCUUGAUCUUAUAUAAGUAUUUGUGUUUUUUUUUCCUCGCAGGACUUUACUGUCAGAAAAAAGUUUGAGUUGUGUGCAGACAUCUUGUUUUACAUCUAUAGUGAGUAACUGCACAUUUUUGGCCAGUUUUGAGGACAAAGUUAAUUUAUAUCGCUGCCUCAUGUCUGUUGCCAUCCCAUACAAGGCCAGCUCCAUUCUGUACCCCCAAAAACUUUAAGCUUUGGCACUAUCUGGAUUAGGAAUGCCAACUGUCCCCCAUAUUGGCACUAAAAAUGUCUUAGAAAGUCUUAAAUUUGACUUUGUGAAACCUGCAGAAACACUGCUG
Poecilia reticulata (guppy) is the source of this 1096-nucleotide long non-coding RNA. RefSeq lists it as uncharacterized. Lineage: Eukaryota; Metazoa; Chordata; Actinopteri; Cyprinodontiformes; Poeciliidae. The record is from RefSeq and is a predicted model, not a curated record.